UCCCUGGUGGCUUAGAUGGUAAAGAAUCUGCUUGCAAUGUAGGAGACCCAGAUUUGAUUCCUGGGUUGGGAA
Bos taurus (domestic cattle) is the source of this 72-nucleotide non-coding RNA. The record is from Rfam. Lineage: Eukaryota; Metazoa; Chordata; Mammalia; Artiodactyla; Bovidae.